RNAcentral lists this ribosomal RNA (652 nucleotides) under uncultured bacterium. Its description in RNAcentral is "bacterial SSU rRNA". It matches the Rfam family "Bacterial small subunit ribosomal RNA", at positions 94 to 743 of the family's 1533-position model. The record is from RNAcentral.
ACCGGCGUACGGGUGCGUAACACGUAUGUAAUUUACCUCAAACUAGAGAAUAGCCUUGAGAAAUUAAGAAUAAUACUCUAUGUGGUAACAGAUUCACAUGAAUUUGUUACUAAAGUUCCGGCGGUUUGAGAUAAGCAUGCGUCCCAUUAGCUUGUUGGUGAGGUAAUAGCUCACCAAGGCUACGAUGGGUAGGGGGUCUGAGAGGAUUUCCCCCCACACUGGUACUGAGACACGGACCAGACUCCUACGGGAGGCAGCAGUAAGGAAUAUUGGGCAAUGGGCGCAAGCCUGACCCAGCCAUGCCGCGUGAAGGAAGAAGGCCUUAUGGGUCGUAAACUUCUUUUCUACGAGAGGAAACCUAUUUUUUCGUAAAGUAGCUGACAGUAUUGUAGGAAUAAGGAUCGGCUAACUCCGUGCCAGCAGCCGCGGUAAUACGGAGGAUCCAGACGUUAUCCGGAUUUAUUGGGUUUAAAGGGUGCGUAGGCGGGAAAUCAAGUCAGAGGUGAAAGCCUGUAGCUCAACUACAGAAUUGCCUUUGAUACUGGUUUUCUUGAGUACAGUUGAAGUCAAUGGAAUGUAACAUGUAGCGGUGAAAUGCUUAGAUAUGUUACAGAACACCGAUUGCGAAGGCAGUUGACUAAGUUGUUACUGA